This 265-nucleotide signal recognition particle RNA is filed under the name Thermoleophilia bacterium. RNAcentral's name for it is "signal recognition particle sRNA large type". It matches the Rfam family "Bacterial large signal recognition particle RNA". Rfam says of the family: The signal recognition particle (SRP) is a universally conserved ribonucleoprotein involved in the co-translational targeting of proteins to membranes. Archaeal SRP consists of a 7S RNA and homologues of the eukaryotic SRP19 and SRP54 proteins. Lineage: Bacteria; Bacillati; Actinomycetota; Thermoleophilia. The record is from RNAcentral.
CCGUGCUAGGUGGGGAGGUAGCGGUGCCCUGCACCCGCAAUCCGCUAUAGCGGGACUGAAUCCCCACCCGAGGAGCGGACCUGUGAGGUCGAGCUGCCGCCAAGUGGCGUUGACGACCGGGUCCCGCGCAAUGGGAAUCCGUGAACCGGGUCAGGACCGGGAGGUAGCAGCCCUAAGCGGACACUUCCAUGUGCCGCGGGGGUGCUUGGUCUGAGUCGGCUAGCGGCGGGCGCUUGGAGGCCUGUCUUCGACGGUGGGUGCACGG